RNAcentral lists this ribosomal RNA (700 nucleotides) under uncultured bacterium. RNAcentral describes it as "bacterial SSU rRNA". It matches the Rfam family "Bacterial small subunit ribosomal RNA", at positions 649 to 1361 of the family's 1533-position model. The record is from RNAcentral.
AUUCAGAGGCAAGUGGAAUUCUGUGUGUAGGGGUAAAAUCCGUAGAUACACAGAGGAACACCAAAAGCGAAGGCAGCUUGCUGGGAAUGUUCUGACGCUCAUGGACGAAAGCGUGGGGAGCGAACGGGAUUAGAUACCCCGGUAGUCCACGCCGUAAACGUUGAACACUAGGUGUUGAAAGACUCGAUCUUUUCAGUGCCGACGCUAACGCAUUAAGUGUUCCGCCUGGGGAGUACGAGCGCAAGCUUAAAACUCAAAGGAAUAGACGGGGACCCACACAAGCGGUGGAGCAUCUGGUUUAAUUCGAUAAUGAGCGAGGAACCUUACCUAGGCUUGACAUCCCGAGAAUUUCCUGGAAACAGGAAAGUGCCUUUUGGAACUCGGUGACAGGCGCUGCAUGGUUGUCGUCAGCUCGUGCCUUGAGGUGUUCGGUUAAGUCCGUAAACGAGCGCAACCCUUGUCCUAUGUUGUAUUUUUCAUAGGAGACUGCCGAUUCUAAAUCGGAGGAAGGUAAGGAUGACGUCAAAUCAGCAUGGCCCUUAUGCCUAGGGCUACACAGGUGCUACAAUGGUCGGUACAGAGGGCAGCAAUGGGGCAACCCGGAGCCAAUCCUUAAAACCGAUCUAAGUUCGGAUUGAAGGCUGCAACUCGCCUUCAUGAAGUUGGAAUCGCGUAGUAAACGCGCAUCAGCAAUGGCGCG